Molecule: ribosomal RNA, 253 nt
Filed under: uncultured bacterium
Lineage: Bacteria
Description: partial 16S ribosomal RNA
Rfam family: Bacterial small subunit ribosomal RNA
Source: RNAcentral
UACGGAGGGUGCAAGCGUUAUCCGGAUUUACUGGGUUUAAAGGGUGCGCAGGCGGCUAUGUAAGUCAGUGGUGAAAUCUCCGGGCUUAACCCGGAAACUGCCGUUGAUACUAUAUAUCUUGAAUGCUGUGGAGGUAAGCAGAAUAUGUCAUGUAGCGGUGAAAUGCUUAGAGAUGACAUAGAAUACCUAUUGCGAAGGCAGCUUACUACGCAGAUAUUGACGCUCAUGCACGAAAGCGUGGGGAUCAAACAGG